AUGGCCCUCCCAAGAGAGAAGCAGGCGUCGGCGCUGUGCAGGCCGUCCAUGGCGAUGGAGACGCCCGGGCAGGAAGGGCUCGAUCCGGAUGAACCAGCCCACACCGAGCCCGGCCGCCUCAACAGGAGCUCGUCUCUCUGCCUGCCAGUGGCUCACCGAAGCCGCCAUCGCCGGCGACCGCCUCCCUCACCUUGUGCCCCUUCUCCUUCGCCUUUCUUCCUCUCUUCCCCGAGGAGCGGGGAGCCGGCGAAUCCGUCAGUCAGGAGCUGGGCAGCGCCCUCCAUCAUCGCCGUCGUUUGGGGAGGGACGCGGUCCUGGUCGAUGCGGUGUGGGGCGGGCGACGCGGGGCAGGAGGUGGCGGCGGGAUGA
This 369-nucleotide ribosomal RNA is filed under the name Triticum aestivum (bread wheat). RNAcentral describes it as "partial small subunit ribosomal RNA". Lineage: Eukaryota; Viridiplantae; Streptophyta; Magnoliopsida; Poales; Poaceae. The record is from RNAcentral.